CAUACAUGCAAAUACUCAUUUUCAUAUUCUUUUUCAUUAAAGGUUAUUGUAAGAUAUUGAGUAUAGUUCCCUGUGCUCUGCAGAAGAAAUUUGUUUUUUAAUCUAUUUUUGUAUAUAGUGGCUAACAUUUGCAAAUUUCAAACUGCCAAAUUUAUCCCUUCCUACCCUCUUUUUCCCCAGUAACCAUGAGAUUGUUGACCAUGUCUGUGAGUCUGUUUCUGUUUUGUAGAUGAGUUCAUCAGUGCUCCUAGGGCCUUUCUUAAGCCUCUCAAGCCAACAGAAGGGACCAAUGAUGUCUCGGUACAUCCUAAUACCAAGAUAAUGCAUCUCCCUUCCCCAGCCCAUCAUAACCGGCAGAGGUGGGCUGAGCUGAACACACGCCACGGGAACAGGUUGCCGCAGAAGAAAACUACAUUUUGUGAAGCGUGGUGCAAAAGCAGUGACAGCGUUUCGAUUGGAGAAGAAUUCAGAAGCUGCUUCUGCAGAUAAAAUUACAGUGGAACUGGCUUUCCUAUUUAACUGGCCUCCAGAUAGAGUCACCCCAAAUCUCCAGCUAUUGACUUUUGAAACACCGCUUACGGAACAGGUACCUGGAAAAACAUGCUUCUGUUGAAUUUCUUUAUAAAAAGAAAGGCCAGGAGGGCAUUGAGUCUGUACCCAUUUAGCCAAGCACGCUACCGCUAACAUUAAAGGUCAACCUCUUACAAAAAGCCAUUGAGAUUAGACAUUUUUGGUAAAAUCUUUUGGUAAAGAAGCAUAUGAACUGGGGGAGUGGGGUGAUUAUCCACU
Molecule: long non-coding RNA, 789 nt
Organism: Camelus dromedarius (Arabian camel)
Lineage: Eukaryota; Metazoa; Chordata; Mammalia; Artiodactyla; Camelidae
Exons: 3
Source: RefSeq, a predicted model, not a curated record